This 764-nucleotide ribosomal RNA is filed under the name Aquimarina muelleri. RNAcentral describes it as "bacterial SSU rRNA". It matches the Rfam family "Bacterial small subunit ribosomal RNA", at positions 406 to 1173 of the family's 1533-position model. Lineage: Bacteria; Pseudomonadati; Bacteroidota; Flavobacteriia; Flavobacteriales; Flavobacteriaceae. The record is from RNAcentral.
GGAAGACUGCCCUAUGGGUUGUAAACUACUUUUAUAGAGGAAGAAACGGCAUUACGUGUAAUGUUUUGACGGUACUCUACGAAUAAGGAUCGGCUAACUCCGUGCCAGCAGCCGCGGUAAUACGGAGGAUCCAAGCGUUAUCCGGAAUCAUUGGGUUUAAAGGGUCCGUAGGCGGGUUUGUAAGUCAGUGGUGAAAGUUUUCGGCUCAACCGGAAAAUUGCCAUUGAUACUGCAAGUCUUGAAUUAUUGUGAAGUGGUUAGAAUGUGUAGUGUAGCGGUGAAAUGCAUAGAUAUUACACAGAAUACCGAUUGCGAAGGCAGAUCACUAACAAUUAAUUGACGCUAAGGGACGAAAGCGUGGGUAGCGAACAGGAUUAGAUACCCUGGUAGUCCACGCCGUAAACGAUGGUUACUAGCUGUUCGGACUUCGGUCUGAGUGGCUAAGCGAAAGUGAUAAGUAACCCACCUGGGGAGUACGUUCGCAAGAAUGAAACUCAAAGGAAUUGACGGGGGCCCGCACAAGCGGUGGAGCAUGUGGUUUAAUUCGAUGAUACGCGAGGAACCUUACCAGGGCUUAAAUGUAGAUUGACAGGUUUAGAGAUAGACUUUCCUUCGGGCAAUUUACAAGGUGCUGCAUGGUUGUCGUCAGCUCGUGCCGUGAGGUGUCAGGUUAAGUCCUAUAACGAGCGCAACCCCUGUUGUUAGUUGCCAUCGAGUCAUGUCGGGAACUCUAACAAGACUGCCAGUGCAAACUGCGAGGAAGG